GACGAACGCUGGCGGCGUGCUUAACACAUGCAAGUCGAACGGAAAGGCCCUGCUUUUGUGGGGUGCUCGAGUGGCGAACGGGUGAGUAACACGUGAGUAACCUGCCCUUGACUUUGGGAUAACUUCAGGAAACUGGGGCUAAUACCGGAUAGGAGCUCCUGCUGCAUGGUGGGGGUUGGAAAGUUUCGGCGGUUGGGGAUGGACUCGCGGCUUAUCAGCUUGUUGGUGGGGUAGUGGCUUACCAAGGCUUUGACGGGUAGCCGGCCUGAGAGGGUGACCGGCCACAUUGGGACUGAGAUACGGCCCAGACUCCUACGGGAGGCAGCAGUGGGGAAUAUUGCACAAUGGGCGGAAGCCUGAUGCAGCAACGCCGCGUGCGGGAUGACGGCCUUCGGGUUGUAAACCGCUUUCGCCUGUGACGAAGCGUGAGUGACGGUAAUGGGUAAAGAAGCACCGGCUAACUACGUGCCAGCAGCCGCGGUGAUACGUAGGGUGCGAGCGUUGUCCGGAUUUAUUGGGCGUAAAGGGCUCGUAGGUGGUUGAUCGCGUCGGAAGUGUAAUCUUGGGGCUUAACCCUGAGCGUGCUUUCGAUACGGGUUGACUUGAGGAAGGUAGGGGAGAAUGGAAUUCCUGGUGGAGCGGUGGAAUGCGCAGAUAUCAGGAGGAACACCAGUGGCGAAGGCGGUUCUCUGGGCCUUUCCUGACGCUGAGGAGCGAAAGCGUGGGGAGCGAACAGGCUUAGAUACCCUGGUAGUCCACGCUGUAAACGGUGGGUACUAGGUGUGGGGUCCAUUCCACGGGUUCCGUGCCGUAGCUAACGCUUUAAGUACCCCGCCUGGGGAGUACGGCCGCAAGGCUAAAACUCAAAGGAAUUGACGGGGCCCCGCACAAGCGGCGGAGCAUGCGGAUUAAUUCGAUGCAACGCGUAGAACCUUACCUGGGUUUGACAUGGAUCGGGAGCGCUCAGAGAUGGGUGUGCCUCUUUUGGGGUCGGUUCACAGGUGGUGCAUGGCUAUCGUCAGCUCGUGUCGUGAGAUGUUGGGUUAAGUCCCGCAACGAGCGCAACCCUUGUUCACUGUUGCCAGCACGUUAUGGUGGGGACUCAGUGGAGACCGCCGGGGUCAACUCGGAGGAAGGUGGGGAUGACGUCAAGUCAUCAUGCCCCUUAUGUCCAGGGCUUCACGCAUGCUACAAUGGCUGGUACAGAGAGUGGCGAGCCUGUGAGGGUGAGCGAAUCUCGGAAAGCCGGUCUCAGUUCGGAUUGGGGUCUGCAACUCGACCUCAUGAAGUCGGAGUCGCUAGUAAUCGCAGAUCAGCAACGCUGCGGUGAAUACGUUCCCGGGGCU
Molecule: ribosomal RNA, 1346 nt
Filed under: uncultured bacterium
Lineage: Bacteria
Description: bacterial SSU rRNA
Rfam family: Bacterial small subunit ribosomal RNA
Source: RNAcentral